Pterocles gutturalis (yellow-throated sandgrouse) is the source of this 578-nucleotide RNA transcript. It is a transcript of the gene named stathmin pseudogene, with no coding region annotated. NCBI's taxonomy places the organism in Eukaryota, Metazoa, Chordata, Aves, Pterocliformes, Pteroclidae. The transcript has a single exon. The record is from RefSeq and is a predicted model, not a curated record.
ACUGGAGCAGCGGAGUGGGCAGGAAUCCAACUGAUUGACGUUCUCUCCGAGUUGGCUUCUGGAGUCAUAUUUUCUUGGUCAUGGCUACUUCUGAUAUUCAACUAAAGGAACCAGAAAAGCAUGCUUCUGGGCAAGCAUUUGAGCUGAUACUCAGUCCCUGCUCAAAAGAAGCAGUCCCAGAAUUCCCUCUUUCUCCCCCAAAGAAGAAGAACGUGUCAUUGGAGGAGAUUCAGAAGAAGCUGGAAGCAGCAGAAGAGAGACACAAGUCUCAUGAAGCAGAAGUCUGGAAGCAGCUAGCUGAGAAGCGGGAGCAUGAAAAAGAGGUGCUUCAGAAAGCGAUUGAAGAAAACAACUUCAGCAAAAUGGCAAAGGAGAAGCUGACCCACAAAAUGGAAGCUAACAAUGAAAACUGUGAGGCACAAAUGGUGGCUAAACUGGAACGCUUGAGGGAGGAGGACAAGCACAUUGAAGAGGUUCCAAAGAACAAAGGCAAAGACCCCAGUGAGGCUGAACCCGACUGACUUCAUUCUGGAAACUGACUCUCUCCCCCUCCUCUAAAUAUCCAAAGACUGUACUGG